CAAACUACUCUGGGGGACGCAUAUCUCGGCUCUCCCAUCGAUGAAGAACGUACCGAAAUGCGAUACUUGGUGCGAAUUGCAUAAUCCCGUGAACCAUUUAGUUUUUGAACGCAAGUUGCGCCCGAAGCCAUUAGGCCGAGGGCACGUCUGCCUGGGCGUCACAC
RNAcentral lists this ribosomal RNA (164 nucleotides) under Sambucus gaudichaudiana. Its description in RNAcentral is "5.8S ribosomal RNA". It matches the Rfam family "5.8S ribosomal RNA". From Rfam's summary of the family: 5.8S ribosomal RNA (5.8S rRNA) is a component of the large subunit of the eukaryotic ribosome. The record is from RNAcentral. Lineage: Eukaryota; Viridiplantae; Streptophyta; Magnoliopsida; Dipsacales; Adoxaceae.